UGGGGAAUCUUGGACAAUGGGGGCAACCCUGAUCCAGCCAUGCCGCGUGAGUGAUGAAGGCCUUAGGGUCGUAAAGCUCUUUCGCCUGUGAAGAUAAUGACGGUACCUAGUAAAGAAGUCCCGGCUAACUCCGUGCCAGCAGCCGCGGUAAUACGGAGGGGACUAGCGUUGUUCGGAAUUACUGGGCGUAAAGAGUUCGUAGGCGGACUAGCAAGUUAGAGGUGAAAUCCCAGGGCUCAACCUUGGAACUGCCUUUAAAAGCUGCUAGUCUAGAGACCGGAAGAGGUUAGGGGAAUACCUAGUGUAGAGGUGAAAUUCGUAGAUAUUAGGUGGAACACCAGUGGCGAAGGCGCCUAACUGGUCCGGUACUGACGCUGAGGAACGAAAGCGUGGGGAGCAAACAGGAUUAGAUA
Molecule: ribosomal RNA, 413 nt
Filed under: uncultured bacterium
Lineage: Bacteria
Description: bacterial SSU rRNA
Rfam family: Bacterial small subunit ribosomal RNA
Source: RNAcentral